GGCGGCGUAGCUCAGCGGUAGAGCAAUCGGUUCAUACCCGAUCGGUCGAUGGUUCAAAUCUGUCCGCCGCCACCA
RNAcentral lists this transfer RNA (75 nucleotides) under Clostridiales bacterium. RNAcentral's name for it is "tRNA-Met". It matches the Rfam family "tRNA". Rfam says of the family: Transfer RNA (tRNA) molecules are approximately 80 nucleotides in length. Their secondary structure includes four short double-helical elements and three loops (D, anti-codon, and T loops). Further hydrogen bonds mediate the characteristic L-shaped molecular structure. tRNAs have two regions of fundamental functional importance: the anti-codon, which is responsible for specific mRNA codon recognition, and the 3' end, to which the tRNAs corresponding amino acid is attached (by aminoacyl-tRNA synthetases). tRNAs cope with the degeneracy of the genetic code in two manners: having more than one tRNA (with a specific anti-codon) for a particular amino acid; and 'wobble' base-pairing, i.e. permitting non-standard base-pairing at the 3rd anti-codon position. The record is from RNAcentral. RNAcentral also lists the same sequence under 1 other name. Lineage: Bacteria; Bacillati; Bacillota; Clostridia; Eubacteriales.